This 399-nucleotide long non-coding RNA is filed under the name Pan troglodytes (chimpanzee). RNAcentral describes it as "long non-coding RNA NONPTRT005206". Lineage: Eukaryota; Metazoa; Chordata; Mammalia; Primates; Hominidae. The record is from RNAcentral.
CAGGCACCAGGCCCAGCUGGAGCAGCUGGAAAAGCUGGGCCCACUCUGGAUAAAAGAGCUUUUCAUCACAGCCUUCUUCAUAGCCUGGCGACCUCAGGAUCCUGGAGAGUGGAAAACAGGAACUGUAAGAUCUCUUAAGGGCUUGCCUUCAAGGUCACACCACAUCACGUCUGCUGCACCUUCCAGAACAAAGCAAAUAAGAUCAGUCCGGAUGCACAACAUGGGAAAACAGACUCUCCCUCUUGACGGGGACAGAGCAAAAAUCUCAUGGCCAAAUUGGCUCCCCCACGUUCCAAUACAGCCGCACAGAUCAUGUGCAGUGAGAGAAAGCAGGAAGUGAUUGCGGCCCAACUACGCACAGGGGGAGGACUGUGAGCAGAGACACGGUGAGGAAGGACC